Molecule: ribosomal RNA, 1412 nt
Filed under: Dickeya sp.
Lineage: Bacteria; Pseudomonadati; Pseudomonadota; Gammaproteobacteria; Enterobacterales; Pectobacteriaceae
Description: bacterial SSU rRNA
Rfam family: Bacterial small subunit ribosomal RNA
Source: RNAcentral
CAUGCAGUCGAGCGGCAGCGGGGGGAAGCUUGCUUCCCCGCCGGCGAGCGGCGGACGGGUGAGUAAUGUCUGGGAAACUGCCUGAUGGAGGGGGAUAACUACUGGAAACGGUAGCUAAUACCGCAUAACGUCGCAAGACCAAAGAGGGGGACCUUCGGGCCUCUUGCCAUCGGAUGUGCCCAGAUGGGAUUAGCUAGUAGGUGAGGUAAAGGCUCACCUAGGCGACGAUCCCUAGCUGGUCUGAGAGGAUGACCAGCCACACUGGAACUGAGACACGGUCCAGACUCCUACGGGAGGCAGCAGUGGGGAAUAUUGCACAAUGGGCGCAAGCCUGAUGCAGCCAUGCCGCGUGUGUGAAGAAGGCCUUCGGGUUGUAAAGCACUUUCAGCGGGGAGGAAGGGAGCAGGCUUAAUACGUCUGUUCAUUGACGUUACCCGCAGAAGAAGCACCGGCUAACUCCGUGCCAGCAGCCGCGGUAAUACGGAGGGUGCAAGCGUUAAUCGGAAUGACUGGGCGUAAAGCGCACGCAGGCGGUCUGUUAAGUUGGAUGUGAAAUCCCCGGGCUUAACCUGGGAACUGCAUUCAAAACUGACAGGCUAGAGUCUCGUAGAGGGGGGUAGAAUUCCAGGUGUAGCGGUGAAAUGCGUAGAGAUCUGGAGGAAUACCGGUGGCGAAGGCGGCCCCCUGGACGAAGACUGACGCUCAGGUGCGAAAGCGUGGGGAGCAAACAGGAUUAGAUACCCUGGUAGUCCACGCUGUAAACGAUGUCGAUUUGGAAGGUUGUGGUCUUGAACCGUGGCUUCCGGAGCUAACGCGUUAAAUCGACCGCCUGGGGAGUACGGCCGCAAGGUUAAAACUCAAAUGAAUUGACGGGGGCCCGCACAAGCGGUGGAGCAUGUGGUUUAAUUCGAUGCAACGCGAAGAACCUUACCUACUCUUGACAUCCAGAGAAGACUGCAGAGAUGCGGUUGUGCCUUCGGGAGCUCUGAGACAGGUGCUGCAUGGCUGUCGUCAGCUCGUGUUGUGAAAUGUUUGGGUUAAGUCCCGCAACGAGCGCAACCCUUAUCCUUUGUUGCCAGCACGUAAUGGUGGGAACUCAAGGGAGACUGCCGGUGAUAAACCGGAGGAAGGUGGGGAUGACGUCAAGUCAUCAUGGCCCUUACGAGUAGGGCUACACACGUGCUACAAUGGCGUAUACAAAGAGAAGCGACCUCGCGAGAGCAAGCGGACCUCAUAAAGUACGUCGUAGUCCGGAUUGGAGUCUGCAACUCGACUCCAUGAAGUCGGAAUCGCUAGUAAUCGUAGAUCAGAAUGCUACGGUGAAUACGUUCCCGGGCCUUGUACACACCGCCCGUCACACCAUGGGAGUGGGUUGCAAAAGAAGUAGGUAGCUUAACCUUCGGGAGGGCGCU